This is an RNA transcript of Mastomys coucha (southern multimammate mouse), 1622 nucleotides long. It is a transcript of the gene named T-complex protein 1 subunit zeta pseudogene, with no coding region annotated. The record is from RefSeq and is a predicted model, not a curated record. The transcript has a single exon. NCBI's taxonomy places the organism in Eukaryota, Metazoa, Chordata, Mammalia, Rodentia, Muridae.
AUGGCAGCAGUGAAGACCCUAAAUCCUAAGGCCAAGGUGGCCCAGGCCCAGGCAGCAUUGGCAGUGAACAUCAGUGUGGUUGGGGGCCUGCAGGAUGUUCUGAGGACCAACUUGGGGUCUAAGAGUACCAUGAAGAUGCUUGUAUCUGGUGCUGGAGACAUCAAACUUACUAAACAUGGCCAUGUGCUGCUUCAUGAAAUGCAAAUUCAAUACCCAACAGCCUCUUUGAUAGCAAAAGUGGCUACAUCCCAGGAUGACAUAACUGGAGAUGGCACUACAUCCAAUGUCUUCAUCAUCGGGGAGCUGCUCAAACAGGUGGACCUCUACAUUUCUGAAUGUCUUCAUCCAAGAAUAAUAACUGAAGGUUGUGAAGCUGCAAAAGAAAAGGCACUCCAAUUUUUGGAAGAAGUCAAAGUAAGCAAAGAGAUGGACAGAGAAACACUCAUCAAUGUGGUCAGGACAUCUCUGCUGACAUCUCAUGCCGAACUUGCAGAUGUCUUGAGAGAGGCUGUGGUGGACUCCAUUUUGGCCAUUAGGAAAAAAGAUGAGCUCAUUGACCUCUGCAUGCUUGAGAUCAUGGAGAUGAAACAUAAAUCUGAAACUGAUACAAGCUUAAUCAGAGGGUUUGUUUUGGAUCAUGGGGAGUGGCAUCCUGAUAUGAAGAAAAGAAUAGAAAAUGCCUCUAUCCUCACUUGCAACAUAUCCUUGGAGUAUGAGGAAACAGAAGUGAAUUCUGGUUUGUUUGUUUGUUUGUUUGUUUUACAAGAGUGCAAAAGAGAGAGAAAAACUAGUAAAGCCUGAAAGAAAAUUCAUUGAAGAUAGAGUUUUAAAAAAUCAUAGAACUGAAAAAGAAAGUCUGUGGUGAUUCAGAUAAAGGAUUUGUCAUUAUUAAUCAAAAGGGGAUUGGCCCCUUUUCUUUAGAUGCCCUGGCGAAAGAAGGUAUCAUAGCUCUGCACAGAGCCAAGAGGAGAAACAUGGAAAGGCUGACACUUGCUUGUGGUGGGAUAGCUCUGAAUUCCUUUGGUGACCUAAAUCCUGACUGUUUCAGACAUGCAGGGCUUGUCUAUGAGUAUACACUGGGUGAGGAGGAGUUCACCUUUAUUGAGAAGUUCACGUUUAUUGAGAACAAUCCCUGUUCUGUCACUUUACUGGUUAAAGGACCAAAUAAACACACACUGACUCAAAUCAAAGAUGCAAUAAGAGAUGGCUUGAGGUCUGUCAAAAAUGCUAUUGAUGAUGGCUGUGUUGUCCCAGGUGCAAGUACAGUAGAAGUGGCACUGGCAGAAGCUCUGACUAAAUACAAGACCAGUGUGAAGGGCAGGGCUCAGCUUGGAGUCCAGGCAUUUGCAGAUGCCUUGCUCAUCAUUCACAAGGUUCUUGCGCAGAACUCUGGUUUUGACCUUCAGGAAACUUUAGUUAAAGUUCAAGCUGAACAUUCAGAAUCAGGUCAGCUUGUGGGUGUGGAUCUGAGCACAGGUGAGCCAGUGGUGGCCGCAGAAAUGGGUGUGUGGAAUAACUACUAUGUGAAGAAGCAGUUGCUUCACUCCUGUAUUGUGAUCGCCACCAACAGUCUCCUGGUUGGCGAGAUCAUGAGAGCUGGGAUGUCCUCUCUGAAGGGUUGA